Molecule: ribosomal RNA, 669 nt
Filed under: Triticum aestivum (bread wheat)
Lineage: Eukaryota; Viridiplantae; Streptophyta; Magnoliopsida; Poales; Poaceae
Description: partial small subunit ribosomal RNA
Source: RNAcentral
AUGACGGGGCUCGAUGUCCAAAAGCAGUUGGAGGACGCAGCUGCAGAGCGGAGCGGCAUCGCCAAGGCUCUCCUCUCGAUCCAGCAGACGCUAGACCGGAUGGCGCCGUCAGUCGAGAAGAUGGAGCCGGUGGUCGCGAAGAUGGAGCCGGCGCUUGUUGCCCUUGAGCCAGUCGUCCAGGAUCUCGCAGCCUGGCGCCCGGGCGUCGAUGCGGAGGUUGGGCGACUUCAGGACGACCUCAGCGACAUUCGGACGCAGCUUUCCAAGAUCGCGUUCGGUGCGGGCGCGGCAAGCACGGCGACAACGCCGGUGCCCUCGCCAACGGUGGUCGCGCCGCUCGUCGACCAAGUUACCAGUGGUGAUGACUACAGGCCAAUGGGCCGUCGCGAGCCUUCUCCUACUCGGGCCUCGACGUUUGGGGGGGGGGGGGACUCCUCCCAGCGCCGAUCCUGGCCAAUGGUACAUUUCGCACGCCUUUCCCAAACAUUCCCAUUCCGAAUCCUCUGGAGUUGUGUAGCGCGAGCGGAUCUCUGGGGGUGCGCAGUGGAAAUUCUAGAGUGGACUGCCCUGAAUUUGACGGGGAAAAUCCCACAGGGUGGAAAAUUCGCUGUGAAGCGUGUUUCCGCAUUGGGGGCGUGGAUCCGUCUGUGUGGAUCGAUACUGCAGUAG